UAGGUCCUCGGGGGGCAGCAGUGAGGAAUAUUGGUCAAUGGGCGGAAGCCUGAACCAGCCAAGUCGCGUGAGGGAAUAAGGCCCUACGGGUCGUAAACCUCUUUUGCCGGGGAGCAAGGGCCGGGACGCGUCCCGGCCCGGAGAGUACCCGGAGAAAAAGCAUCGGCUAACUCCGUGCCAGCAGCCGCGGUAAUACGGAGGAUGCGAGCGUUAUCCGGAUUUAUUGGGUUUAAAGGGUGCGUAGGCGGGCUUUUAAGUCAGCGGUAAAAAUUUGGGGCUCAACCCCGUCCGGCCGUUGAAACUGG
This 305-nucleotide ribosomal RNA is filed under the name uncultured bacterium. RNAcentral describes it as "bacterial SSU rRNA". It matches the Rfam family "Bacterial small subunit ribosomal RNA", at positions 331 to 636 of the family's 1533-position model. The record is from RNAcentral.